GAUGAACGCUGGCGGCGUGCCUAAUACAUGCAAGUCGAGCGGUAACACUUCGGGUGACGAGCGGCGGACGGCUGAGUAACACGUAGGAACGUACCCCAAACUGAGGGAUAAGCACCAGAAAUGGUGUCUAAUACCGCAUGUGGCCCCUCACCACUUUUUGUGAGCUUAUAAAGUAUCAAAAAGUAUUUCGUAGGAAGUGGUGAGGGGUUAAAGCUUCGGCGGUUUGGGAACGGCCUGCGCAUGAUUAGCUUGUUGGUGAGGUAAAAGCUCACCAAGGCGACGAUCAUUAGCUGGUCUGAGAGGAUGAUCAGCCAGACUGGGACUGAGACACGGCCCAGACUCCUACGGGAGGCAGCAGUAGGGAAUUUUCCACAAUGGGCGAAAGCCUGAUGGAGCAACGCCGCGUGCAGGAUGAAUGCCUUAGGGUUGUAAACUGCUUUUAUAUGUGAAGAUAUUGACGGUAGCAUAUGAAUAAGGAUCGGCUAAUUCCGUGCCAGCAGCCGCCGUAACAC
This 512-nucleotide ribosomal RNA is filed under the name uncultured bacterium. RNAcentral's name for it is "bacterial SSU rRNA". It matches the Rfam family "Bacterial small subunit ribosomal RNA", at positions 28 to 526 of the family's 1533-position model. The record is from RNAcentral.